CAGUUCGGAUUNUAGUCUGCAACUCGACUACAUGAAGCUGGAAUCGCUAGUAAUCGCAGAUCAGAAUGCUGCGGUGAAUACGUUCCCGGGUCUUGUACACACCGCCCGUCACACCAUGGGAGUCGGAAAUGCCCGAAGCCGGUGACCCAACCAAAAGGAGGGAGCCGUCGAAGGCAGGUCUGAUAACUGGGGUGAAGUCGUAACAAGGUAGC
RNAcentral lists this ribosomal RNA (212 nucleotides) under uncultured bacterium. Its description in RNAcentral is "partial 16S ribosomal RNA". It matches the Rfam family "Bacterial small subunit ribosomal RNA", at positions 1289 to 1500 of the family's 1533-position model. The record is from RNAcentral.